RNAcentral lists this ribosomal RNA (253 nucleotides) under uncultured bacterium. RNAcentral's name for it is "partial 16S ribosomal RNA". It matches the Rfam family "Bacterial small subunit ribosomal RNA", at positions 524 to 776 of the family's 1533-position model. The record is from RNAcentral.
UACAGAGGUCUCAAGCGUUGUUCGGAUUCAUUGGGCGUAAAGGGUGCGUAGGCGGCGCGGUAAGUCGGGUGUGAAAUCUUGGAGCUUAACUCCGAAACUGCAUUCGAUACUGCCGUGCUCGAAGACAGGAGAGGGAAGUGGAAUUCCCGGUGUAGUGGUGAAAUGCGUAGAUAUCGGGAGGAACACCAGUGGCGAAGGCGACUUUCUGGCCUGUUCUUGACGCUGAGGCGCGAAAGCUAGGGGAGCAAACGGG